UAGCUUGCUACUUCGGCGUCGAGCGGCGGACGGGUGAGUAAUGCCUAGGAAAUUGCCUUGAUGUGGGGGAUAACUAUUGGAAACGAUAGCUAAUACCGCAUAACGCCUACGGGCCAAAGAGGGGGAUCUUCGGACCUCUCGCGUCAAGAUAUGCCUAGGUGGGAUUAGCUAGUUGGUGAGGUAAUGGCUCACCAAGGCAACGAUCCCUAGCUGGUCUGAGAGGAUGAUCAGCCACACUGGAACUGAGACACGGUCCAGACUCCUACGGGAGGCAGCAGUGGGGAAUAUUGCACAAUGGGCGCAAGCCUGAUGCAGCCAUGCCGCGUGUAUGAAGAAGGCCUUCGGGUUGUAAAGUACUUUCAGUCGUGAGGAAGGUUCAUACGUUAAUAGCGUAUGGAUUUGACGUUAGCGAC
This 413-nucleotide ribosomal RNA is filed under the name Vibrio sp. P12-6. Its description in RNAcentral is "bacterial SSU rRNA". It matches the Rfam family "Bacterial small subunit ribosomal RNA", at positions 76 to 482 of the family's 1533-position model. Lineage: Bacteria; Pseudomonadati; Pseudomonadota; Gammaproteobacteria; Vibrionales; Vibrionaceae. The record is from RNAcentral.